AAUCAACGCUGGCGGCGUGCCUCAGACAUGCAAGUCGAACGAUUAAAGCUCCCUUCGGGGAGUGCAUAAAGUGGCGCACGGGUGAGUAACACGUAAGUAAUCUACCCUCGGGUGGGGAAUAACGUCCGGAAACGGACGCUAAUACCGCAUAAUGCAGCGGCACCGCAAGGUGACAGUUGUUAAAGAUUUAUUGCCUGGGGAGGAGCUUGCGGCAGAUUAGCUAGUUGGUAAGGACGGCUUACCAAGGCUACGAUCUGUAUCCGGUCUAAGAGGACGGUCGGACACACUGACACUGAAUAACGGGUCAGACUCCUACGGGAGGCAGCAGUCGGGAAUUUUGGGCAAUGGGGGAAACCCUGACCCAGCAACGCCGCGUGAAGGAUGAAGUAUUUCGGUAUGUAAACUUCGAAAGAAUAGGAAGAAUUAAUGACGGUACUAUUUAUAAGGUCCGCUAACUACGUGCCAG
This 466-nucleotide ribosomal RNA is filed under the name uncultured bacterium. Its description in RNAcentral is "bacterial SSU rRNA". It matches the Rfam family "Bacterial small subunit ribosomal RNA", at positions 32 to 511 of the family's 1533-position model. The record is from RNAcentral.